UACAGAGGUCUCAAGCGUUGUUCGGAUUCAUUGGGCGUAAAGGGUGCGUAGGCGGCCGGUUGCGUCUGCUGUGAAAUCCCGGGGCUUAACCCCGGGCGUGCAGUGGAUACGGGCCGGCUGGAGGCAGGCAGGGGAGAAUGGAAUUCCCGGUGUAGCGGUGAAAUGCGCAGAUAUCGGGAGGAACACCGGUGGCGAAGGCGGUUCUCUGGGCCUGUACUGAC
RNAcentral lists this ribosomal RNA (221 nucleotides) under uncultured prokaryote. RNAcentral describes it as "partial 16S ribosomal RNA". It matches the Rfam family "Bacterial small subunit ribosomal RNA", at positions 524 to 744 of the family's 1533-position model. The record is from RNAcentral.